This 842-nucleotide long non-coding RNA is filed under the name Homo sapiens (human). Its description in RNAcentral is "HSALNT0347740". The record is from RNAcentral. Lineage: Eukaryota; Metazoa; Chordata; Mammalia; Primates; Hominidae.
AUUGACAGGCCGGAGGUGGGGCCCGAGUUCCUGUCUCCAGCCCACGAUUUGCCGAUCCAUCUGUCUUCCUCAGAGAGAGAGGGCGGAUAAUGCAGACUGCGCUUCCUUGGAAGACGGCAGGCUCCAGGCCAGACAAACGAAUGUAUCAACCAUACAGAUGAAGAGCUGAGGCUCAGGGAAGGAAUUUGCCAAGGUCACGAAGCUGUAAGACACAGAACCUGGGGUGUCUGCCUGUAGAGCUCACACUGACUCUACAGCCACUGAUCCAAAGCUUCAAUGAGCAAGAGAUGAAGUGACCCCUCCAACCCCACAGCUCAGCGUCUUUCUUGAAGCUCCAACUCCAGGGCCAUUGUUUUCCUGUUCUCCCCGCUCCAAGGCCUCUCCUCUCUCCUUGGCCCAACUCUCUGACAGUGAUGCAGGUUCUGGGCAGGACGUGUCUUUUGGGGGCCAUUCACCCCCAGGCUUCGUGGUGAAUGACUGACUAGAAGCAGUGCCCUCCAAGUUGGUCCUUCUGAACCCAUCAAUGACAGUGGACAGAAAAGUUGGCCACUGAUUGAACUUCAGAUCUGUCUCGAACAGGGAGCCACUGAUACCUGUGUAGGAACCAGCUCCAUCACCCGGCAUCCCAGCCAGACCCACCACUGCAAAUGUUCCUACAUUUUGCUAUUGCAUAGAAUUUCCCUUUGGGGAUUAUAAAUAUACCUUCUUGCUUAGGUUUUUACUAGAAAAAAGAGAGAGAAGCAAAACAGCAAAGCAAAGCUCAAACCCCACCAGGCUGUGUCACAAAUCUGUGUAUAAUGUUCUCCUGUUGCUCAAGGAAACACCCCCACAAAGGAGUUUUG